Molecule: ribosomal RNA, 299 nt
Filed under: uncultured bacterium
Lineage: Bacteria
Description: partial 16S ribosomal RNA
Rfam family: Bacterial small subunit ribosomal RNA
Source: RNAcentral
UAGGGAAUAUUGCACAAUGGGCGAAAGCCUGAUGCAGCAACGCCGCGUGCGCGAUGACGGCCUUCGGGUUGUAAAGCGCUUUUCGGGGAGAUGAGGAAGGACAGUAUCCCCGGAAUAAGGCUCGGCUAACUACGUGCCAGCAGCCGCGGUAACACGUAGGAGCCAAGCGUUAUCCGAAUUCACUGGGCGUAAAGCGCGUGUAGGCGGCUUGGUAAGUUGGAUGUGAAAGCUCCUGGCUCAACUGGGAGAGGACGUUCAAUACUGCCGGGCUAGAGGGCGACAGAGGGAGGUGGAAUUCC